GUUUAUCUGCGAGUUUUGUGCUUUACACAAAACAUCGUUUAUUGUAUGUAGUUUUGCUUUGCAAAACUACUUGAAAAAACUUUUUCGCAAAUUAAUAUUUGCUGCAAAAGUUUUUAUAGGG
Regulatory RNA element from Treponema denticola ATCC 35405, 121 nucleotides. It matches the Rfam family "TD-1 RNA". Rfam says of the family: non coding RNA found in Treponema denticola NCBI's taxonomy places the organism in Bacteria, Pseudomonadati, Spirochaetota, Spirochaetia, Treponematales, Treponemataceae. The record is from Rfam.